GGGGGUCAGGCCACUGUAUAGGCGCUGGCGUGAUUCGUAGCUCUCGUGCUAGGGCGUCCAUGUCGGCCUUCUCCUUGAUCACGUAUGGGCCCUUUGGUGUCUGGAUUUGGAGCCCAUUCGGGAAACACCAGCGAUAUCUAAUUUUGUUUGAUUGUAGUUGCAUGGUGAAGGGGCGUAGGGCCCUGCGGUACGCCAGUGUUGUAGGUGAUAGAUCUGGGUACAGUUGUAAUUCUGUGCCUUCCAAGGUGACUUUUCCCAGGUCUCUUGCCUUCCUCAAGAUCUCUUCCUUCUGUUGAAAGCUUGCUAUACAGCAAAUGAUAUCCCGGGGUGGGCUCCCAGGGGGCCCUUUCGGCCGAAGUGCACGAUGAGCCCUCACCAGGUUGAUUUGAGCUUGUGGGGGACGCCCUAAAAGGCCGUUAAAUAUCCCCGUCAGGGUCUGUUGUACAGGGGUGGCAUCAUCAACUUCUUCUGGAACCCCGCGGACCCUAAUGUUCUGCCGUCUGCCCCGAUUAUCGAGGUCCUCCAGGUGAUACGCCAUUUGCCGGAGUUGUUGCGUGGUAUGUUGCAGGGUUUCAGUAGUCGCGGACUGCGCCGAUGACACGUGGUCGCAGUCCGCUUCUAGUUGAGAUACCCUCUGGCGUAGGCCGCAAAAUUCCUCCCUCAUGGCCUGGAGUUCCGUCGUGAUUGAGGUUCUCAGGUCGUUGUUCGCCCUCUGCAGAUCGGUUUUAGUGGGCAGGUUGCGGAGCAUUUCCACCCACUCGGGGUGCGGCGCUGGAGUGUUUGCUGCCGGUAUCUCUGCAGGGCUCUCUCCAUCAAGCGGGGAGGGAGAGAACAGCCCCUCUGAGGCCGCCGAGUCAUUGGAGGCCUGCGUGUCCGGGUCCGCCGGAGUGAUCAAAUAUUGCCGCAGGGUAGGGUGACUGUUCCCCCUGGGGGUGUCAGCGGGUUUGGAGGCUUGCGACGCUCUAUGUGUUUUGCCCAUGAUCGGGGCAAUAUGGUGCUUACGGCGGGGUUUGUGUGGAGCCUGGUAGGGAGCUCAGGAUUUACGCCGCCAUCUUCUUCGGCUUCCAGGCCACGCCCCUG
This is a non-coding RNA of Pelobates cultripes (western spadefoot toad), 1080 nucleotides long. NCBI's taxonomy places the organism in Eukaryota, Metazoa, Chordata, Amphibia, Anura, Pelobatidae. The record is from the annotation of a GenBank genome assembly.